RNAcentral lists this ribosomal RNA (468 nucleotides) under uncultured bacterium. RNAcentral's name for it is "partial 16S ribosomal RNA". It matches the Rfam family "Bacterial small subunit ribosomal RNA", at positions 28 to 507 of the family's 1533-position model. The record is from RNAcentral.
GACGAACGCUGGCGGCGUGCUUAACACAUGCAAGUCGAACGGAAAGGCCCUGCUUUUGUGGGGUGCUCGAGUGGCGAACGGGUGAGUAACACGUGAGUAACCUGCCCUUGACUUUGUGAUAACUUCAGGAAACUGGGGCUAAUACCGGAUAGGAGCUCCUGCUGCAUGGUGGGGGUUGGAAAGUUUCGGCGGUUGGGGAUGGACUCGCGGCUUAUCAGCUUGUUGGUGGGGUAGUGGCUUACCAAGGGUUUGACGGGUAGCCGGCCUGAGAGGGUGGACAGCCACAUUGGGACUGAGAUACGGCGCAGACUCCUACGGGAGGCAGCAGUGGGGAAUAUUGCACAAUGGGCGGAAGCCUGAUGCAGCAACGCCGCGUGCGGGAUGACGGCCUUCGGGUUGUAAACCGCUUUCGCCUGUGACGAAGCGUGAGUGACGGUAAUGGGUAAAGAAGCACCGGCUAACUACGUG